RNAcentral lists this ribosomal RNA (274 nucleotides) under uncultured bacterium. RNAcentral describes it as "partial 16S ribosomal RNA". It matches the Rfam family "Bacterial small subunit ribosomal RNA", at positions 523 to 796 of the family's 1533-position model. The record is from RNAcentral.
AUACGGAGGUUGCAAGCGUUAUCCGGAAUCAUUGGGUUUAAAGGGUCCGCAGGCGGAUUAGUAAGUCAGUGGUGAAAUCCUCUCGCUCAACGAGAGAACUGCCAUUGAAACUGUUAGUCUUGAAUUCGGUCGAAGUAGGCGGAAUGUGUCAUGUAGCGGUGAAAUGCAUAGAUAUGACACAGAACACCGAUAGCGAAGGCAGCUUACUAGACCUGGAUUGACGCUCAUGGACGAAAGCGUGGGGAGCGAACAGGAUUAGAUACCCUAGUAGUCC